RNAcentral lists this unclassified non-coding RNA (632 nucleotides) under Hevea brasiliensis (rubber tree). The record is from RNAcentral. Lineage: Eukaryota; Viridiplantae; Streptophyta; Magnoliopsida; Malpighiales; Euphorbiaceae.
AAGAUCGCCCUCAGAGGAACGUCCUGAUUUCUUGGUGACUACCCAUUCGUAUGCACUUCCUAGUUGGAAGAGGCCAGAGACCAUGGCAUUAAACUUGGUAACGGACAUGGUGUUCUCGAAUAGAAGGUAUGGCACGAUGAAUGGGAAAGAUUUAGGCGCCGGAAGUAUAUUGAGAAAUGACAUGGUGGCAGGGACGUAAGAGACGACCCAUGAUGGGAGCGUCGCCUCAGGAAUGAACAUUGUCAUUGGGAGGAUUAUGCAAAACAGAGUGAAUGAAUAAAAUGGCAAUACCAACUUCCUCAAAAGGAAGAAAAGAAAUAUCAAAUUGCCCUUCUUCCAUAUGCUUAUCUUUGAUUUAAUAAUGGCAGGUAAACAGAGACGAAACAACUGCAUUGGCCCCGAAUGCCAUCUAUGUUGUUGCUUCCUAUACGCUUCAUAUGAUUCCGGUAACUCACACUGACACUCUACAUCAUUGAGAAAGAUAAAUUUCCACCCAUGUAGAUGAGCCCUGACUGCAAUGUCCAUAUCUUCAACGGUCGUCCGCUCCAACCAACCACCAGAUUCUUCUAAUGCCUUAAUCCUCCAUACUCCAGCAGUCCCAUUAAAGCCAAAGAAAUUCAGAAAAAUACCAU